Cordyceps militaris CM01 is the source of this 2581-nucleotide ribosomal RNA. It matches the Rfam family "Eukaryotic small subunit ribosomal RNA". The record is from Rfam. NCBI's taxonomy places the organism in Eukaryota, Fungi, Ascomycota, Sordariomycetes, Hypocreales, Cordycipitaceae.
UAUCUAGUUAAUUCUACUAGUAGUUAUAUACUUAUCUUAAAGAUUAAGCUAUACAUAUCUAAGUAUAAGCAAUUAUAUAGUAAAACUAUAAAUAGCUUAUUAUAUAAGUUAUUAUUUAUUUAAUAGUACCUUACUACUUAGAUAACUAUAGUAAUUCUAGAGCUAAUAUAUACUAAAAAUCCUAACUUUAGAAGGGAUAUAUUUAUUAGAUUAAAAACCAAUACCCUUUAGGCUCCUUAGUAAUUUAUAAUAACUUUUUAAAUUGCACAGCCUUGCACUAGUAAUAGUUUAUUUAAAUUUCUUCCUUAUUAACUUUUAAUGUUUAGGUCUUAGCUAAACAUAGUCGUAAUAGGUAACAAAGGGUUAAGGCUCAACCCUAGAGAAGGAGCCUAAGAAAUGGCUACUAUAUCUAAGGAAGGCAGUAGGCAUGCAAAUUACCUAAUCCCGAUUUAGGAAGGUAGUAAUAAUAAAUACUAAUAUAGGGCUCUUUUAGGUCUUAUAAUUAGAAUAAGUAUAAUUUAAAUCUCUUAAUAAGGAAUAAUUAGAGGGCAAGUCUAGUGCUAGUAGCUAUAGUAAUUCUAGCUCUAAUAGUGUAUAUUAAAGUUAUUAUAGUUAAAAAGCUUGUAGUUAAACCUUAGGCCUAGCUAGCUAGUCCGCCUUACUGUGUGUACUAGUCUGGCUAGGCCUUUCCCUCUAUAGAACCCUAUACUCUUUACUAAGUAUGGUAGUAAAAUAGGACUUUUACUUUAAAAAAAUUAAAGUACUCUAGGUAGGCCUAUACUUAAAUAUAUUAGUAUAGAAUAAUAAAAUAGGACGCGUAGUUCUAUUUUAUUGGUUUCUAGGACCACUAUAAUAAUUAAUAAGGAUAGUUAGGGGCAUUAGUAUUUAAUUAUUAGAGGUGAAAUUCUUAGAUUUAUUAAAGACUAACUACUAUAAAAGCAUUUACUAAGAAUAUUUUUAUUAAUUAGGAAUAAAAGUUAGGGGAUUAAAGACAAUUAGAUACUAUUAUAGUCUUAACUAUAAACUAUACUAACUAGGGAUUAGAUAAUAUUAUUUUUUAAUGUAUUUAGCACCUUAUGAGAAAUUAAAGUGCUUAGGCUCUAGGGGGAGUAUAGUUGUAAGGCUAAAACUUAAAGAAAUUAAUAGAAGGGCACUACUAGGGGUAAACUGCUUUACAUAGCCAUAGUAGCUCUACCCUAGAAAGCAGCCUAAAAGGGUUAGUAGUGUUCCUACUAGCGCUCUAGUGUGGCGAACUAAUUGCUAGUCUCCUCUAGAGGUAAUACCCUUAAAUUGCAAGAAAAUCCUAAAGCUAGUAUUACUAAGCUAGCACUAAAAGGGCGUUAGUAGCUAGGGUAGUGACCUAGGGUAUAGUAAAAGUACACUAGAUAAUGCAAUAGACAAUCCGCAGCUAAGCCUUGUUGCUAUAGGGCACGGGGAAGGUUUAGAGACUACAUAGGGGUAGGUAGUGUACUAUCUAGGGGCUCUAGCCCCUAAGCGCCCGCUUAUAACAUUACUUAAGAUAUAGUCUAGCUAUGCUAGAAAUAGCAUAGGCUAGUAAACCUAGAAAUAGGAGCCUAUAGCUUAAUUUAACUUAAUAUAGGGAAACUUACUAGGUCUAGAUAUAAUAAGGAUUAAUAGAUUAAGAGCUCUUUCUUAAUUUUAUAGGUAGUAGUGUAUAGCUAUUCUUAGUUAGUAAAGUAAUUUAUCUACUUAAUUAUAAUAAUAAACAAGACCUUAACCUACUAAAUAGCCUAUAUUGCUUUAGCAGUAUGCUAGCUUCUUAAAGGGACUAUUAGCUUAAGCUAAUAGAAGUUUAAAGUAAUAAUAAGUUAACCUAUAUAGGCCUAUAAUAGUAGUCCUUAUUAAAAUAUCUACUAGUCUAUAUAAUGUCUUUAUUAGGGCAGUCCCCUUCUAUUAGGUAGAGAGGAUUUAAAAGAGUCCUAGUUAUAAGCAACACCACCUAGUAUAGGGAACACUAACCUAGGCAUAUUAGUAAUAAUAUACUAGAGGCCAAUCCUAUAGCGAGCUUAGGUCAUGCUAAGCCAUUAUAACGUAUAGAAAGGGGUAAGCUAGCAUAACCUACUAGCUUAAGGUAUAUACUAAUCCUAUAGGAAACUAUGCCUAUACAGCAAGGCCUAAUAGGCUAAUCUACAUAGGGGUAGGCUAUAGGCCUACUAGCAUUGCCUAUAUAUAUAGGUAGACAAACAAAUACUAUAAUGCCUUUAGAUAUUCUAAGCUAUACGCGCGCUAUACUAACAGAGCUAGUAAGUACUUCCUUAGUUAAAAGGCUUAGGUAAUCUUAUUAAACUCUAUUAUGCUAGGGAUAGAGUAUUGUAAUUAUUACUCUUUAAUAAGGAAUCCCUAGUAAGUAUAAGUUAUUAGCUUGUAUUAAUUAUAUUCCUACCCUUUAUAUACACUGCUUAUUAUUACUACUAAUUGAAUAGCUUAGUAAGGUGUCUAGACUAGCCUAGGGAGGUAGGCAACUACCCCCCUAGGCUAGGAAGCUCUCUAAACUUAGUUAUUUAGAAGAAGUAAAAGUCGUAAUAAGGUCUCUAUUAGUGAACUAGCGGAGGGAUUAUUA